ACGAGAAUGGACGGCCCGGCGUCCGGUAUCUUCAGGAUAUCGAGGCGAUGGACGUGAACCUCGACUCGGCCGUUCGGAUCUCGCUUCUCGUC
Molecule: transfer RNA, 92 nt
Filed under: Jannaschia aquimarina
Lineage: Bacteria; Pseudomonadati; Pseudomonadota; Alphaproteobacteria; Rhodobacterales; Roseobacteraceae
Description: tRNA-Sec
Source: RNAcentral